GAUGAACGCUGGCGGCGUGCCUAAUACAUGCAAGUCGAGCGAAUGGAUUAAGAGCUUGCUCUUAUGAAGUUAGCGGCGGACGGGUGAGUAACACGUGGGUAACCUGCCCAUAAGACUGGGAUAACUCCGGGAAACCGGGGCUAAUACCGGAUAACAUUUUGAACCGCAUGGUUCGAAAUUGAAAGGCGGCUUCGGCUGUCACUUAUGGAUGGACCCGCGUCGCAUUAGCUAUUUGGUGAGGUAACGGCUCACCAAGGCAACGAUGCGGAGCCGACCUGGGAGGGGGAUCGGCCACACUGGGACUGAAACACGGCCCAGACUCCUACGGGAGGCAGCAGUAGGGAAUCUUCCUAAAUGGACGAAAGUCUGACGGGGCAACGCCGCGUGAGUGAUGAAGGCUUUCGGGUCGUAAAACUCUGUUGUUAGGGAAGAACAAGUGCUAGUUGAAUAAGCUGACACCUUGACGGUACCUAACCAGAAAGCCACGGCUAACUACGUGCCAGCCGCCGCCGUAA
Molecule: ribosomal RNA, 515 nt
Filed under: uncultured bacterium
Lineage: Bacteria
Description: partial 16S ribosomal RNA
Rfam family: Bacterial small subunit ribosomal RNA
Source: RNAcentral